CUGGGAGAAGAAACCUGAUGCUGCGAUGUGUUUGUGGCAGUCUCCAAAUGAAAAGAUGUGUUCAAAUUUCAACAAGUUCAGAGGAGUUUUAGAUGAUGCAAUAUGGUUCCUAAGAAACAUGUAAACUGCUACUGUUUUCAGAGGCUAGCUUUUGGAUAUCAUUUAAUAUUCUAGGCCUUUCCCUAUGGCUAGAAAGUCUGAUCAUUGUUGGCAGAAAAGAGAGUCCAAACUUAAUUCUUUAUUAUUAAUAGUCUACCCUGGAAAAAAAAU
Molecule: long non-coding RNA, 270 nt
Filed under: Homo sapiens (human)
Lineage: Eukaryota; Metazoa; Chordata; Mammalia; Primates; Hominidae
Description: HSALNT0024443
Source: RNAcentral